GACAGAGGGUGCAAACGUUGUUCGGAAUUACUGGGCGUAAAGCGUGUGUAGGCGGCCUUAUAAGUCGGAUGUGAAAGCCCAGGGCUCAACCCUGGAAGUGCACUCGAUACUGUAAGGCUCGAGUACUGGAGAGGUUGGUGGAAUUCUCGGUGUAGAGGUGAAAUUCGUAGAUAUCGGGAGGAACACCGGUGGCGAAGGCGGCCAACUGGACAGAUACUGACGCUGAGACACGAAAGCGUGGGGAGCAAACAGG
RNAcentral lists this ribosomal RNA (253 nucleotides) under uncultured bacterium. Its description in RNAcentral is "partial 16S ribosomal RNA". It matches the Rfam family "Bacterial small subunit ribosomal RNA", at positions 524 to 776 of the family's 1533-position model. The record is from RNAcentral.